RNAcentral lists this long non-coding RNA (3223 nucleotides) under Homo sapiens (human). RNAcentral's name for it is "HSALNT0399526". The record is from RNAcentral. Lineage: Eukaryota; Metazoa; Chordata; Mammalia; Primates; Hominidae.
UGAUCACGACCUGGGGAAACGGGAAAUAUACUUUUGACUUGUGAAGAUGAAGUUGCUUUUUGUUCUCUUGUGGCCACAACUACAAUUCAGCAUUAUCAGAAUCCACCCUUAACAGCUGGCAUAUGACAUAAAGAAGAAGCCUGCCUGCACCAAGGGGACAAUUUCCAGGCAAAGAUGGAAUGCAGAGCUCUUUGCUGAAAGCUAACCAUCUUCAAAAUAGGCCAUGAGACAAAAAGGUGCUGUUGUCUUUCACGGCUGCUGGUAAGAGGUACAGACUCUUAAGCAAUGGUUGAGGAACAACUAGUAUCACAAGAGACAAUGUUUUGAAUGAAACUCAAGGCAUACUCAUCAGAGAAUGAACUGUUCACUUCAAGUGAGGGGACAUGUAGUCUUCCCUCAGAGGACAAAUAGCUGACUCUGUGAAGGAGAAAUGCAUGGGUGACCCCAUUUGGGGCCACCAAGGUGCUGAACCAUUGCCUUCUGUUGGAUCUUAACCCACAUGCGGGGUUCCAUGAUGAGGGGAAAAGAGUAACGUUGGAGUUGAAAAGCCUGGCAGACACCAUGUUCGACUGAGUGAUCAGAGUGAGCGCCGCCAGCCAUGAAACACACUGAAUCUGGAACAAUGGUGCAGCCCACUAUGGCUUCUCUGAUAGUCCUGCCAAAGGGCCUCAGCUGAAGAACCCAGAAGACAGUGGAAAAAGUUUUUCCCUCCCUAUAUGGGAGUGUGAGAGCCCAACUCUGCCUCAAGAGAGAAGAAAGUCUAAGGAGUUACUUGUGCUCCAGAGCUCCCUGGGAAUCAGACAGAGAGCCUAAUGGACCUGGAGGAAAAUAAAAACCCAACUCCAUUUCCCCCUAGCCACCCUGUCCUAGCUCAGGGAAAAACUGAGAAGCUGAAUGAAGCUCACAGUCCAGGGCACAGGCUCAAGACAGACUGGGUCCUAAUCACAGGUCUACACACUGAGUCCUAAUCACAGGGCUAUGGAACCCUUCCCUUCCCCACACCUCACCAAAGGCCUAUUUGCCACCGUUUCUGACCCAGUGCAUCACAUCUGGCUAUCAACAAACAAUCACAAGGCAUAAAAAAAGGUAAAGACCACAGUCUGAAAAGACAGAGCAAAUGUCAGAACCAGACUCAGCUAUGGCACGGAUGUUGGAACUAUGAGACUGGGGAUUUAAAAUAACUAUGAUUCAUGUGCUAAGGGCUCUAAUGGAUAAAGUGGACAGUAAGCAAGAACAGAUGGGCAAUGUAAAUAGAGAGAUCAAAGUUCUAAGAAAGAAUAAAAGAGAAAUGCGAGAGAUCAAAAACACUAACAAAUGAAGGAUGCUUCUCACGGGCUCAUUAGUAGGCUGGGCACAGCUGAGAAAGACUCUCUGAGGCUGAGGAUAUCUCAAUAGAAACAUCCAGAACUGAAAAGCAAAGGGAAAAAAUGCUGAAUGAAAAAGGCAUAGAAUAUCCAAGGACUGUGGGAUAAUUAGAAAAGGUAUAUGUUUAAUAGGAAUACCAAAAGGAGAAGACAGAGAGAAAGGAACAGAUGGAAAGUUGGAAACAAUAAUGACUGAAAAUCAGACACCAAACCACAGAUCCAGGAAGCUCAGAGAACACCAACCACGAUGAAUGUCAAAAUUAAGCCUAGCCACAUUGUUUUCAAACUACAGAAAAAUCAGAUAAGGAAAAAAAUCCCAAAAGAUGCCAAAGGUGAAAAACACCUUACUUCCUUAGAGGAACAAAGGUAAGAAUUUCAUCUGACUUCAUGGAAACCAUGCAAGCAAGAAGACAGUGGAGUGAAAUAUUGAAUGUGUUGAGAAAAAAACUCCACCAGUCUAGCAUUCUAUACUCUGUGACAUUAUCCUCCAAAAGUAAAGGAGACUUAAAGGCUUUCUCAGACAAACAAAAAUUCAGGGAAUUUGAUGCUAGCAGAUCUGCCUUGUUAAAUGUUCAAAGAAGUUAUUCAAGGCAAUAAAAAUUGUUAUAGGUCAGAAGGUCAUAUCUACAUAACAAAAGAAAGAACAUCAGAGAAGAAAUAAGUGAAGGUAAAAUGAAAUUUUUAACUUGUUACUCUUAAUCUAACAGAUCAAUUUGUUCAAAAUUAUUGUAGCCACAAUGUAUUAACAUAUAUACAAAUGUGCUACCGAGCCAUGAAAAGAUAUGAAGGAAACAAAUGCAUAUUACUAAGUAAAAGAAGCCAAUCUGAGAAAAGCUAUGUAAUAUAUAAUUCCAACCACAGGACUCACUGGAACAGGUAAAACUAAGGUGGCAAUAAAAGGAUUAGUGGUUGUCCGGGGUUAGGGUGUGGGAGGGAUGAACAGGUAGAGCACAGAGGAUUUUUUAGGGCAGCGAUUCUUUAUGAUAUGACAAUGGUAGAUACAGCUCAGACACUUGUCAAAACCCAUAGAAUGUGCAAAUGAAAAGUGAACCCUGAUGUGAACUAUGGACUUUGAGUGAUAAUGACGUGUCCAUGGAGGUUCUUUGACUGCAACAAACAUGCCACUUUGGUAGAGAAUGUCGAUCAAGGGGGAGGCUGUGCAUGUGUAGGGGCAGGGGGCAUAUGGAAAUCUCUGUACUUUCCACUUAAUUUUGCAGUGAACCUAAAACUGCUCUAAAAAGCAAAGUCUAUUAAAGAAAAUUCACAAUAACCUAAAACAGAUGUAGGCUAGAUUUGGCCAGAGGGCUACAGUUUGUCGAAUCUUGACUUAGAAUAAGUCCUUCGUUGAAGAAGUAAAAACUAUAACAAAAACCACCAACCAAAGUGUGUUCCAGUUACUGCUGCUGCAUAAUAAAUCACCCCCAAACAACUCUUUGAUUUUGCAUAAUCGUGUGGGUCAGGAAUUUUGGAAGGGCAUCUGCUGGGCAGUUGUCGAUCACUGUAGUCAGAUAUUGGCUGGGGCUGCAGCCACCUGAGGGCACAAGGGCCAGACAUCCAUGAUGCUCACUCCCGUGGCCUGGCAGCGGAUGGUGACUCUUGUCUGGGGGCACAGCUAGGCAGUCUGCUGGAGCACCACAUGAGGCCUCUCCAGCAUGGAGUUUUCUCAAUGCUGCAUGCUGCCCCCACAGCAAGCAACCCAAGAAAACCGGUGAAAGCUACAUGGCCUUUCCUUUUCUAGUGCUGAGAAGCCUCAGAGUAACUUCUUCCCCAUUCUUCUGGUUACAAGAGAAUCAGGAGCCAGUCCCACGUCAAGGGGAGGGAAGGUAGACACCACCUCUGAUGGGAAGCAUGUCAAAGAC